This is a long non-coding RNA of Cygnus olor (mute swan), 3579 nucleotides long. RefSeq lists it as uncharacterized. The transcript is spliced from 3 exons. The record is from RefSeq and is a predicted model, not a curated record. NCBI's taxonomy places the organism in Eukaryota, Metazoa, Chordata, Aves, Anseriformes, Anatidae.
AAAAUGAACCUUUUUCUCUGGUAAUUACUCAGAACUGUGGAAAAGAAUAAUGCAAAUCAGUUCAUCUGAAAUCAAAAUAUAAUACUGAACAGCUCAGACUAAUUUCCUCUUAAUAAGAGAAAUGAAAGGCCAAAAGAAACUUACAAAACCCAUAGCAGUGGAGUUCAAAUUUAAUCGUUUAUCAGAAAUGUAACAACUAGUCAGCAUUAGAAACGUGAUGUGAUAAAGACACCAAUCUCCUCUGUGAUUUCAUGCUCUCCAGUGUAGAUGCAAGACAGUACCACUACAGUGGGCCAACACAGGCAUGGAGACAGCUCCGGAUGUGCAAAACCCUUUCCUGUACAGUCCAUCAUCUAAAGGGACAUAUUUCUGUUUGACUUCCACUUGAUGCCUACUCAGCACAUCCUUCUAGCUGGAGUCAUUACUGUAGUGAGGUCACAAUCUACUCUCAGUUAAGCUGACAACAGGACAACAAGCCACGUCAUCAUCUAAGUGCUACAAUUUAUGAGGCAGGCUGGAGGACUAAUGAGUUAGUAGACUGGCUUCAGUACACUAAGACCACCUGUGAAGAGAUGGCAUUCGUACUUUGGGAACUUGUGCCUGGGAUGACUAUCAGAAGUGCUGGAAAGAAGGAUAAUUUUUAAGUAUACUGUGAAGAAAAUGUAUGACUGGAAUUAGGGAUUUUGUCAGUGCAAUAACCUUCAUGAUGUCUGACAGCGUGGAAGUUUCUAAAGUGACAAGCUGAUACACGGAAAUAAGACUAACAGAAGUGGUAUGAACAGUAUUGCUCUUUAGGAAAAACUUCCAGAAGUUGGCAGAAACCUUAGUGCACAGCCCAUAGAGCGUUGGAACGUUCAAAACAGCUACAAGCAAGCAAGCUGAUUUCACGUGUAUUUCAAGCCAGUAAGAACUGAGCUUAAAAAGAGUGUGAACUACAGCCAAAACGCCAUAUAAAUCAAAUGUAAGCUGCUUUAACUACAGAUAAGAUUAAAAAAAAAAAAAAACAAAACACACAAUAAUUAGUGCAAACAUCCAUAAAGAAUAGUUCCUCAACUUCCUUUUGCAACUCCCUUCUGCAUUUGGCUGCAGUACUGAAGAGAAAAUCAUAAAAAGUCAGAACCAGGAGUAUAAACCAAGACUCUAAAAGCAAAUGGUACAUUUUAGAUGCACCAAAAACUGAGUGACAACAGAAAACCACCAUGUAAUUUGAUACAUGUUACCUGGUGGGACUGGACUUUAAGAUAUAACCUUCUGCUAACCCUUCCCCAGAAUCAAGGUAUGCAUGCAGUGAAACCUGCCUGACACCAACUACCCUGCAGCCCGGUAUGGUUCCCAACAUCUUCAUGUGAUAGGGCUAGAACAGGAUGACAUUUCAACUCGCAAAGCUCAUGGGUAUUACAGCUACAUGGAUUUCCUAGGAACUAUAAUUUUGGCAGUUAUCUUUGUGCAUUAAGAAUUACCACUCAUCUUGUUCAAUAACUCCUGAAGAGAUUCAGAGGUGUCUUGUCCUGCAGACAUGAGAGCGAUAUGCAUCCAGUUGAACAAGAAAAUACUGGGUAAUCAAUUGUGUUUUUUUUUUUCUGCACCUUUGAAUAUCAAAGCUCAAAGGAAAAAAAAAGCUCUCCAAAUGCACCUCAAGUUAGAAUCAUGACUGAAGAAUCAGAAACUCAAAUAUCCCCAGCGCAACAAUGAACAGCUAUUUUUAAUAGGAAAAGUUAUUUGAUGAAAAUAAUUAUGCAAUUGUUAUCGCAGUUUAUCAGCCUCUGAUGUUCUGUGUGCCUUUGUAUAUUGAGAGAAGGAAAGAAGACAGCCGGGCUAAUUGAAGAGAAAUAGAUCUACAGGAACAAUCUCUGAUAGGAAACAUUUUGUGUGUUUUGUAACACACACUUCUCCCUUGUCAACAUAUCAUCUCCCAUACAUCAGGAUAACAGGGUGACUGGGCGAUCUAUCCAGUCAGCACAGCUCCUCAGAGAUAUAUUAACUUGUUCUGCAGAUGCAGUCGAGAUGGAGUUAUGAAAAUGUUGUAUUGCAAGAACAAAGUAGGAGAAGUAGGAGAAGGCAAGAUUGAAUCAUGGAUGAAUUCAGAUCCAGGAAAUUUCCACAUAACAUUUUUAAGUGAAAAACAAUCUUAAGAAGAAAGUUCAGGGGAGGACUAAACUUCCGUUUUGUUACUUGAGAUAUUCUUAGAGAAAACCUAAGGAGAGUUGACAUAUGGUCUCUCACAGAGAGGCUUUUAUGGAAGCUUGAAGGAAUGACAAACCAUGACAAGCUCAUCACACGCUCUUCCCAAGGCGAAUGUAUCCCUCUGUCCCCUUUGUAAACGGUUAUAAGUGAGACUUCUCACUGUAAUUCCUGGUGAAAUAGCUGAAUUCAGACAGAAAGGAUGGCUCCACAGCGCUUUAUUCUGAAGUAGAAAUGUACCUCUGACAACAUGCACACAUACAGGAUCUAAAAUGUCAGAACUCCUAGUCAUUCUCUCUACUCUAGGAAUUUCUUGCUAGAAAUCCUCUCAUGACUUCUUUUACAAAUAAGAUUGCAACUUAACUGCACACAAGCUCCCACCUUGUAAGAAUCAAUGGAAAAGAAUGAGAAGACAGAGCACAAGCCUGAUGAAAAAAAGAAAAAAAAAGAUGAUGUAACAUCUUUAGCCAUAUAUCUAAGGUUCUGUGAAUGAGUGAGAGCAGCGGGGGACAGUCAAGUAGAAAAGCACUGCUCCUGGUUGGAUUGCAAUGCCUAUCUGCUUGUCUCCAUCAAAUGCUUGUAUUUCACUGUGAAAUAAAGGGAAGAACCAAAAGCAAAUAAUCUUUCCAAACCUUGCCUGCAUGUGUUUGUUCAACUUCUACCAUUUCUAACUGCUUCAGAAACAAUGACCCCUGAGUCAUGGAGAUUUUAUCAACCUUCAGCUUUCAAAAGCAGAUGCAACAAAUCAUGUUUGGAUUUGUUUCCAGGCACCCCUUUAAGCCAGGUGACACAGACAGCUCCACUGAAGAACUGCUGAGUGUCUCAAUUCAUUCUAUUAGUAGAAGUGAUUUAGUAAGUAAAAAUAACUGCCUUGCUUUCUGAGCCAUCAGCUUUGUAUUUCAUCUAACGUCUCCUUAUCUGGGUACUCUAAGAGAUAUCAAAGAACGUAUAUGAUCUGCUUUGCUGCCUUACACUGGACCUUUCUUUGAAAUGUUUGAAAAGUCCUUACAAAUGCAAGACCAGUAGCUUUUAAGAUGCUUAGCAAACCCACUGUCUGUGUUGCCUACUUUCUGUAUGUUUGCUUGCUAAAAUGCAAAAUGAACAAUAAUAUUUUCUCUCUCUCUCUCAAUUGCAAACACUACAGAUGUUCACAAAAAAGUCCAAGGGAGACUUAAGAAUAUUUUCUCCUUUUAUCAGUAUUCAUAGACAAGACUAGAAGAAACAGGGCUCCAUAUCUGAAGUGAAGUAUACUGUAAAGGAUAUACGCAUGCAUACACAAAAAAUGAUACAUUCAUAUACUUUGCCACCAGCUUUCAGAAGAAACAUAUGGCUGAUAUACAUCUGACUCUUAGAAAUACCUAAGAUCUGAUACCAAUUUUUACUAAACAAAUUUCCCUG